GUUUGUUGACAGAAGAUAGAGAGCACAUCUGAACAAACACAAAAGACAUUGUGUUUGAACAGUUGUGUGCUCUCUGCUCUUCUGCCAACAUACU
RNAcentral lists this microRNA precursor (94 nucleotides) under Medicago truncatula (barrel medic). RNAcentral's name for it is "miR156f stem-loop (mtr-MIR156f)". Its record names the gene mtr-MIR156f. Lineage: Eukaryota; Viridiplantae; Streptophyta; Magnoliopsida; Fabales; Fabaceae. The record is from miRBase by way of RNAcentral.